UGAGGAAUAUUGGUCAAUGGGCGCAAGCCUGAACCAGCCAUCCCGCGUGCAGGAAGACGGCCCUAUGGGUUGUAAGCUGCUUUUCCGGGGGGAGAAUUUUCCUGUCGUGACAGGAAUUGACGGUACCUUGGGAAUAAGCAUCGGCUAACUCCGUGCCAGCAGCCGCGGUAAUACGGAGGAUGCGAGCGUUAUCCGGAUUUAUUGGGUUUAAAGGGUGCGUAGGCGGAUUGAUAAGUCAGUGGUGAAAACCUGCAGCUGAACUGUAGACUUGGCGUUGAUACUGUCAGUCUUGAGUGUGGUCAAGGUAGGCGGAAUGUGUAAUGUAGCGGUGAAAUGCUUAGAUAUUACGCAGAACACCGAUUGCGAAGGCAGCUUACUGGGCCAUUACUGACGCUGAUGCACGAAAGCGUGGGGA
RNAcentral lists this ribosomal RNA (415 nucleotides) under uncultured bacterium. Its description in RNAcentral is "bacterial SSU rRNA". It matches the Rfam family "Bacterial small subunit ribosomal RNA", at positions 355 to 767 of the family's 1533-position model. The record is from RNAcentral.